This 253-nucleotide ribosomal RNA is filed under the name uncultured prokaryote. Its description in RNAcentral is "partial 16S ribosomal RNA". It matches the Rfam family "Bacterial small subunit ribosomal RNA", at positions 525 to 777 of the family's 1533-position model. The record is from RNAcentral.
ACGAAGGGGGCUAGCGUUGUUCGGAAUUACUGGGCGUAAAGCGCACGUAGGCGGAUAUUUAAGUCAGGGGUGAAAUCCCGGAGCUCAACUCCGGAACUGCCUUUGAUACUGGGUAUCUCGAGUAUGGAAGAGGUGAGUGGAAUUCCGAGUGUAGAGGUGAAAUUCGUAGAUAUUCGCAAGAACACCAGUGGCGAAGGCGGCUCACUGGCCCGGUACUGACGCUGAGGUGCGAAAGCGUGGGGAGCAAACAGGA